This 685-nucleotide ribosomal RNA is filed under the name unidentified microorganism. Its description in RNAcentral is "bacterial SSU rRNA". It matches the Rfam family "Bacterial small subunit ribosomal RNA", at positions 53 to 719 of the family's 1533-position model. The record is from RNAcentral.
ACAUGCAGUCGAGCGAAUGGAUUAAGAGCUUGCUCUUAUGAAGUUAGCGGCGGACGGGUGAGUAACACGUGGGUAACCUGCCCAUAAGACUGGGAUAACUCCGGGAAACCGGGGCUAAUACCGGAUAACAUUUUGAACNGCAUGGUUCGAAAUUGAAAGGCGGCUUCGGCUGUCACUUAUGGAUGGACCCGCGUCGCAUUAGCUAGUUGGUGAGGUAACGGCUCACCAAGGCAACGAUGCGUAGCCGACCUGAGAGGGUGAUCGGCCACACUGGGACUGAGACACGGCCCAGACUCCUACGGGAGGCAGCAGUAGGGAAUCUUCCGCAAUGGACGAAAGUCUGACGGAGCAACGCCGCGUGAGUGAUGAAGGCUUUCGGGUCGUAAAACUCUGUUGUUAGGGAAGAACAAGUGCUAGUUGAAUAAGCUGGCACCUUGACGGUACCUAACCAGAAAGCCACGGCUAACUACGUGCCAGCAGCCGCGGUAAUACGUAGGUGGCAAGCGUUAUCCGGAAUUAUUGGGCGUAAAGCGCGCGCAGGUGGUUUCUUAAGUCUGAUGUGAAAGCCCACGGCUCAACCGUGGAGGGUCAUUGGAAACUGGGAGACUUGAGUGCAGAAGAGGAAAGUGGAAUUCCAUGUGUAGCGGUGAAAUGCGUAGAGAUAUGGAGGAACACCAGUGGCGAA